This 245-nucleotide unclassified non-coding RNA is filed under the name Glomus sp. RNAcentral describes it as "partial internal transcribed spacer 2". Lineage: Eukaryota; Fungi; Glomeromycota; Glomeromycetes; Glomerales; Glomeraceae. The record is from RNAcentral.
GUGAAUCAUCAAAUUUUUGAACGCAAAUUGCAUUUUCUGGGAGGAGGGAGAGGAGGCAGGUUUGAGGGUCAGUGUAAAUAAAAAUCGGUGUGGGCGGGGAAGUUCGGGGGGACGCACCGGAUGUGGGUCGUAUGGCCUUCGGUUAAGUGACCUAAAAUUUUGCAUGAUUUUUUUCGAACGUAUUUAAAUGAUUUUACGUGCGUUUGCGAUAGAGAAUACGAGGUGUGGGCAGGUCCAUGAGGAGG